UACGGAGGAUCCAAGCGUUAUCCGGAAUUAUUGGGCUUAAAGGGCGCGUAGGUGGAUGGUUAAGUCAGAGGUGAAAUCCUGCAGCUCAACUGUAGAAUUGCCUUUGAUACUGGCUAUCUUGAAUCAAUGUGAGGUGGGUAGAAUAUGUAGUGUAGCGGUGAAAUGCAUAGAUAUUACAUAGAAUACCAGUGGCGAAGGCAGAUCACUAACAUUGCAUUGACACUGAUGGACGAAAGCGUGGGGAGCAAACAGG
RNAcentral lists this unclassified non-coding RNA (253 nucleotides) under uncultured Flavobacteriaceae bacterium. RNAcentral's name for it is "contains 16S-23S intergenic spacer region". It matches the Rfam family "Bacterial small subunit ribosomal RNA", at positions 524 to 776 of the family's 1533-position model. Lineage: Bacteria; Pseudomonadati; Bacteroidota; Flavobacteriia; Flavobacteriales; Flavobacteriaceae. The record is from RNAcentral.